GACGAACGCUGGCGGCGUGCUUAACACAUGCAAGUCGAACGGAAAGGCCCUGCUUUUGUGGGGUGCUCGAGUGGCGAACGGGUGAGUAACACGUGAGUAACCUGCCCUUGACUUUGGGAUAACUUCAGGAAACUGGGGCUAAUACCGGAUAGGAGCUCCUGCUGCAUGGUGGGGGUUGGAAAGUUUCGGCGGUUGGGGAUGGACUCGCGGCUUAUCAGCUUGUUGGUGGGGUAGUGGCUUACCAAGACUUUGACGGGUAGCCGGCCUGAGAGGGUAACCGGCCACAUUGGGACUGAGAUACGGCCCAGACUCCUACGGGAGGCAGCAGUGGGGAAUAUUGCACAAUGGGCGGAAGCCUGAUGCAGCAACGCCGCGUGCGGGAUGACGGCCUUCGGGUUGUAAACCGCUUUCGCCUGUGACGAAGCGUGAGUGACGGUAAUGGGUAAAGAAGCACCGGCUAACUACGUG
RNAcentral lists this ribosomal RNA (468 nucleotides) under uncultured bacterium. Its description in RNAcentral is "partial 16S ribosomal RNA". It matches the Rfam family "Bacterial small subunit ribosomal RNA", at positions 28 to 507 of the family's 1533-position model. The record is from RNAcentral.